RNAcentral lists this unclassified non-coding RNA (356 nucleotides) under soil metagenome. RNAcentral describes it as "partial contains 5.8S ribosomal RNA, internal transcribed spacer 2, and large subunit ribosomal RNA". The stretch from base 5 to 119 matches the Rfam family "5.8S ribosomal RNA", at positions 40 to 154 of the family's 154-position model. The record is from RNAcentral.
GAUGAGAACGCAGCGAAAUGCGAUAAGUAAUGUGAAUUGCAGAAUUCAGUGAAUCAUCGAAUCUUUGAACGCACAUUGCGCCCGCUGGUAUUCCGGCGGGCAUGCCUGUUCGAGCGUCAUUUCAACCCUCAAGCUCUCCGGAGUUUGGUGUUGGGGCGCCUGGGGCUUUUCGACCUCAGGGCCCUCAAGUCCAUCGGCGGGACCGCCAGGACACUGAGCGCAGUAGUAUUAUUUCGCUCGGUAGGAUCUUCCACGGCGGGUCGAUCUGGCCGCUAAACCCCCCAAUUCUCACCAAAGGUUGACCUCGGAUCAGGUAGGAAUACCCGCUGAACUUAAGCAUAUCAAUAAGCGGAGGA